CAGCAGCCGCGGUAAUACGAAGGGGGCUAGCGUUGUCCGGAAUUACUGGGCGUAAAGCGCACGCAGGCGGCUCGAUAAAUUAGAAGUGAAAGCCUUGGGCUUAACCUGAGAAUUGCUUUUAAGACUGUCGAGCUAGAAUCCAGAAGAGGGUAGUGGAAUUCCGAGUGUAGAGGUGAAAUUCGUAGAUAUUCGGAAGAACACCAGUGGCGAAGGCGACUACCUGGUCUGGCAUUGACGCUCAUGUGCGAAAGCGUGGGGAGCAAACAGGAUUAGAUACCCCUGUAGUCCCUGUCUCUUAUAC
Molecule: ribosomal RNA, 301 nt
Filed under: uncultured bacterium
Lineage: Bacteria
Description: partial 16S ribosomal RNA
Rfam family: Bacterial small subunit ribosomal RNA
Source: RNAcentral